Molecule: non-coding RNA, 6693 nt
Organism: Podarcis lilfordi (Lilford's wall lizard)
Lineage: Eukaryota; Metazoa; Chordata; Lepidosauria; Squamata; Lacertidae
Source: the annotation of a GenBank genome assembly
AUAUGCCAUUCUGCAUCAAUGCUGUUAAUAUUUAACACUACUUAAAUUGUUUUACUAUACUUUGAAGGCUCUACAUCCUUUGAGAAGCCAUGUGGUUAAUUCAUAACCUUUUAAACUUUAUGACUUUGCAUGUUUUAUAAUUUAUUGUAGUGCUUUAAAACUGGAAGCUACCUUGGGCAGCUUGGCAGAAAGGUGGUAGAUAAAGGUAAUAAAUAAAUGCACGUUUAAUUUUUAAAAAAUGAAGUAUGUGGUUGAAUCCAUUCUGUGUGUUACGUUUUAGGUCAAGAAGUUGAGAAAAAUAUUGUGGGUUGUGUUUAGCUCUAGUCUAGUGAAUCUUCAAAGAGGGUAGUUUCUGUAUCCUUCGUCCUCCUUUAGAAGGAUAUAAAUUGAUUAAUAAAUACAUAAAUAAAUAAACACAGCCACCCAGAUUUUCCGUCCAUGAGGACUAGGAACAUAUCUGAUUCUAAAAUAAAUGGCAUAAUUCUCAGGUUUCUCCAUGGAAUUCCUCUUCCUGCUGAGGGGCCAACCUACACAUUAUCCUAACUGCAUAGCAUGCAGAUGUGCUUCCUGACUUCCUUUCAGGCAUGUCCAAAGUCCGUUUUGGGGGCCUAAUCCGGCCCGCCAGUUGGUUUAAUCCAGCCCCUUUGGCAGUUUAUUUCCUGGGGUAAACUCCUAAAAAAAGCUCUACAACUUUGGUUGGCCCUUUGGUUGGCCUCCACGGCCCUUCACUUCUGGCCCUCUUUGAAAAAAGUUUGGACACCACUGGAACUUCUAAAGGGUGCCCAGGGAGGUGGGGGGAUCUGAUUUCUUUCUUUCUUUUUUGAAGGGUUCACAAUACACAGGGUGGGGAAGUUUAUAUUUUCCCUUCUCAGCUGUAACCUCUCUGAAAAAGGCCAUUCCUGCUCUGGCUACAGUUGUGGUGUGCGGGUGCCUUCUUUGGUAGCGUUGUGUGGGUGAGGGUGAAUUUUCUUUUUUUCUUUUGGAAGAGCUGAUAUCCAGCGGACAUUAAAGGAAAUUUGGAGGCAAAGCUGCACACUUCAUAGUAAAAUCAGGCUUGGCCUCAACCAUCUUUGUUUUUGUUUUUUCCUUCAGAAUUUUCUCACUCCUCCAGUUCUGCUAGUGGCUACAAUCUGUUACCAUUCAAUAACAAAAACUGCUGGGGCGGAUUGAGUUUCCUUAUUAAUGUAGGCACAAACGUUCAUCGCUCUUUCUCCCCCUCCCUCACCUUUUUAAAAAAGUGGUUUACGUAUGCAGUUUGCUAACCCAUCCAAAUGUUUUAAUGAUCACUGUUUGCAAGUAGGAUUUUUUUGGGGGGGGGUGAGACUGUAUUGUGGAGGGAGCUAUAUGCAAGUUUAGCAGCUGAUCUGUGCUUGUUAUUGCAACAGCUAGGUAGAGGUUAAUAGGUCCAUAGCAGAGCAUGCAUGGUGGCCCCAGGUUCCAGCCCAUAGCAGCUAAGUGAUGUUGGGAGACAGAGAUGCAUUGCAACCAGACCAUAUUGACUGCAGUGGGAUGGAGGCUGCCUUUGUCCCAAAGACCUGCAAAUAAGGCGAAUUGCUGUCCGCUCUCAUUUCUACAUUGAGAAGAGGUCCAUUGGUGCUUGCUUCAAAUCAAGGCACGAUUGCUUCAAAACAGAGGAUGCACCAUUUCAUGUGAUUAAAUUGAAUUGCAUUUGAUUUUUCAUUACUGUCAGGAUAAUACAUAUGUUUCCAGUUUUUCUCCUUGUUCUAGCGAUGACACUUUUUGACCUACCUUUGCAGCUAAUAUAAGGUAGGAUGGAGUUCUUUGUAGUAGAUGAGUCUCUCCCCCUCCCCGUUCCUUGUUGUUGUUUUUGCCCAAGCAUGCUGAAGGAGGUAUUCCUAAUCCCUGAACUAUUUGCACUUUCUCCCUUGACACUGGCUUUCUGCUUCCCUCAGCCAGCACUGCACAGUGCAAACUUUACACCAGUGGAGGUGCUUUCAAGUGGUAAUGGGGGAGGCACAGUCAAGAAAAUUGCUUCUAAUUUGUAGGAGAAUCUCCACUUAGACUGAAGCCCCAGCACAAAUUGAUGUUAAAAGUUAAUAAUGUUGUUUGGGUUGGAUUUAUGGUCAUUUACACAAUGAAGCCAGUCAAUAAGUGCCCACAGGCUCUCUUUUGAGUGUGAAUUGCCUAGUGCUGGGGAUAAUUGUUCGUUACCGACAACACAUUUGUAACUAAAUCUUGGGUACUUUGAGAUGCGAUGGUGGUAGGAACUAACCUGUGUCCUGAGUAUAAAAUGGCAUUGGGGAGUGUGUGAAAUGAAAUCUUCUCCCCCCAUUUAUUUUCAUCAAUAAAAAUGGGGACAUAUCCUUUCUUGUUCUUUCUCUUUGCAUGUGCCUCCCCUAGCACUGAGAAGCCUUGGCAGGUCAUCCAAAUUAACUCUCUUGUGUGCAUAGUUAAUAAAAUUAUUGGAACUGAUCAGCUGUGCCCACACCACUUUGAUUAUCCUUUCACAGUAGCCUUUCACAACCUGGUUUCCACCUUAUGUUGUUGAACCCCAAUGCCCAUAAUCCCUGACCAUUGGCCGUGCUGCCUAGUUGGUUGAGAUGGGAGUUGGAGUCCAGCAACAUGUGGAGAACAGCAGCUUCAGGAGGGCUCUUUUAAAGCAUUCUAGUAAGGGUAGGCCUAGUGAAACUGAAGGAGCAGAAGUAUUGGACACACAUGUAGGCAUUCGGCUCAAGAUCAAAGAAGGGUGUCAAACGCACAAGAAGAAAACCUUUAUCUCCUGAGUCUCCUCUGUCAAGCACAACAUUCUUGAAUGGAAAUAUGGAAUGUUCUGUGGUCUAGCAUCAUACCAUUUAGUAGAGAUAAUGCUAAGCUAGAUGGACCACUGGUCUGAUAACGGCGUAAGACAGUUAUCUCUUCCUAGCUUGCUGGUUGUUUGCACGCUCCGUUUCAGACAAGGGGUCUAAGUGGGCUGCAAAGGGGUGUGGUCACAUUGUUGCUCCACCUGUCCAGGUCUGAGCACAAUUCUGAAGGAGGUAGAUGCCUAGAAGCUAAUUAUCAGAAGUGGUGUCUGCAUCUCUUGCACCUUUGGAGCUGUUGUUAGUGAGGCUCUGCCAAUAAAGAAUUAAACUUCCCAUCACUUGUCCUUAUUGGCGCUGGAUGUGCUUGGGACAGUGUGUUUUGUGGUUCAGAACAUACACAUGGUUUUCCACCUUGCGCAUGUUAAAAGGUUGAACUGAAAUUUUUGUAAAAAUAUACUCAUUAGCCAUAUGUCCCUUAACAUCUUUUUCUAAAUGGAUCCUGUACAGCUGUUGCUGAUUAUACAGUUGGACAUUUUAAGGUAAAAACAAAGCAAAGCUAAAGUUAAAUAAUUAAGGCUGUACAAAAUAAAAACUAAAAAUAGUGAUUCUUAUUUACACAGUAGACUGUGCAUUACUUAUAUAGCAGACUGUGCAUUAACCUAACAAUUAGGAUAGCUAAAGUUACUUCUUUUUUGGGAAAAAUCUCAACAAUAACUAGAGUGGGCUGUUUUAUUGCAGUCUGCUGUUGUGCAGUUUUCCCCCUCAUGUCAGUGGUGCUUCUGUAGAUUUUGUUUGGGAAGGGAUCAAUGCAGCAGUAGUAUGUUUUGAAUGAAUUACAUUAUAAAUAGAAUAGGGUUUCCCAAACUUGGGUUUCCAGCUGUUUUUCGGACUACAACUCCCAUCAUUCCUAGCUAGCAGGAUCAGUGGUGAGGGAUGAUGGGAAUUGUAGUCCCAAACCAGUUGGAUGACCAUGUUUGGGAAACCUGAAAUAGAAAUAGGUUCCUCUUUUUUUGCCUUGUGAAUGGUUUGAGAAUGAAGUGUUGUAAAGUCAUUAGGAUUCAGCAGUGAAAUCAUAGAAAUGUAGAAUUGGGAAGGGACUACUAAGGCCAUCUAGUCCAAUCCUCUGCAAUACAGGGAUGUCUUGGGCUAACAUGGGGCUCAGUGCCAUGACCUUGACAUUAAGUGUAUCAUGCUCUGCCAACUGAGCCAGCCAUCUAACAUGGCCCUUACUGGGCGGUAAGCCACGGUUUGUCUUCGCCAAAUCCAGGCUUGUAUAUUGUCUCACUCUAAACAAACCAUGAGUUUACAACCAAGAUUUGUUAUUUGCUUACGACUCAUGGUUUGUUUGGGUGAAGCAAGCCAUGGGCCUGGGUUCUCCUUAGGUUCCAGUAGUUCAGCAGCAGAUAGUGGGGAGUUCACAGUAAACCACAGUUUGGCUAAGUGUGCCAUGCAAAUGAGGUCUGAAUAGAAGUUCUGGGCAGCAGAAGCAAUUAAGAGAGUAGCAUUAGGAGGCAGGGACUGGAAAUCAGACAGUGGCUUACCAGAGUCUUUUGCUCCUGAUGGACAUAAUCUUCUUUCUGUAUAUAUUUUGAUAACUGUAACAUUUCACUGUGUUUGAGGGAAGUGCAUAAGUUAUCCCAAGGAUAUGACAUUUUCUUACCUAAUCAAGUAACCUCGACAUAGUGAUAAUUAUGUCAUUGAUGUGGGAAAUCUAUUUUAGCUGUAUGUUUUGGUUGCAGGCUCCUUUAAAUCUUUACAUGCAAUUCAAAAAUGACUAAUUCUGCAAUGCAAAGAUACCUCAGGGCUGCUUAAGAUCUGAACAGUUCAGCAGGUGGAUGUUCUUCCUGAAGCAGAUCUUUGAAUAGAAUCAGAAACGUUCCCCAUUUCUAAUACAGAGCUGUUGGCUAAUAGGUCUGGAAGCAAAAUAGGUCAUGGCCACAUUGGAAUGUGCUUUUUUGAUUAGCUAAUCAUAGUGAUGCUGCUUUUGGUGUUUGCCUAAGAAGAACUAAGGGAUUCACCUUUCAAGCCCCAUCAGCUGAAACCCUACAAAAGGACUUCCCACUUGCACAGUGGGUCCUUACCCUAUCUCCUUCCUCCUUACCCCCUGAAGUUGGCUGGGGGCAGUGUUAGAAACUCAGAUAUAUAAGCUAGUUACCAAAUGGCACUUUAAAUCUAGGUUACAAUCACCACAAUUGGCGCCCAGAAAUCCCCAUGUAGUUGCAAUUGGACCCACACCAGUGGCAAAACGCACCUGGCGCCUGACUAAUUUCUAACACUGGCUUGGGGGCAUGCAAGGAGAGGGGGGAUCAUUCUGUCUGGCAAGCUGAGAGAACAUUAAUCUUAGUGGGACAUUGAAUUCUAGCCUAAGGGUUUUAUAGAGGUAAGGGCCACAAUCCAGGUUAGUUUGGAGUGUGGAUAUACAGAAAUAAAGUGAGGUGUUUAAUAAUAUCUUUAUAAUGGAAAAUCCACAGCCUAUGCCACAUUGUAAGCAGUUUCCAGCAACUGCAGUCUAUCACAUCAAAGAAAGAGGUGUCGUCUUUAUCUAUUUGGGCUGUGAAAAUAGUCCCUCCCCAACAGCCGUGUGCUCACAUACAUAUGGGGGUGGGGACUAGCAGGUUGUGAAUUAGCCCUAUGACAGAUGACACAGCUUAGAGAAGGCUAUUGCAUGUGUUAAAAGGAGCAUGCAUAAGGGAGAAGAGUAAGAGAACCAGAAUCUUUCUCUCUCUCCUUGAACGUUGUUUUGAGUCAUGAUAGGGCAAUCUGACUCUGCACUGCACCAAUGCGGAUUGUAUUGGCUAAGAAUUGGGUGUCUGCAGUUUAAGGAUACUGCCUGCUGGAAAGCUAAGCAGACCAUAAUGUGCAGUGGAAUUGUUCCCUCCAGAUCUGUAGAUGACACUUUCUCCCUCAUGCUUCUACUCCUGCCCUACUUGAUGAACAAGUGAGCAUCACCCACUGAAAAUAAGUGGGCAUUUAUUCUGCUCAACUUGAUUAGUAAUCCGUAAGCGACUGUUUUGAAGUAAUCUUUGGGUCUCCGGGCAUUUGUGUUGUUUUUCUGUUUAAGAAAGCUGCACAACACAGAUGUUAGCAGCCAAACGAGUUAUUAGCUGUGGGGUGUUGUUGAUGUUUCAGGCCAUUUGGGAAUUGCUGUGACAUAGACUCCUUCUUCUUCUUCUUCUUGCAACGGCACUUUAAUUUUUCUGUUUUGUAUAUCACAUGACAAUUUAUUUAUCUUCCUCAUUGUUUCUGUAGGAUGGUCACUGCUAUCUGAAAUUAUAAGUACCCAGGACAGAAUUUAUAAAGAACAGGUGUUGAGAGAGGAAGGUAGGGAGGCCUGAAUUUAGGCUAAUUGCCUCCUGGGCCCUGAAGAGGAAAAAAGGACCACCUUAUUCUCACCUUGUGGUGGGAGGGAAAGCAGCUGUUUCCAUGGCACUCACUUUAGCAGGCAGGGCAAAUAGCUUCUGACUGGCAAUGUUCCACCUCAUUUGGAAUAGGAAAUGCCUCUGUUGGGGAUGUAGAGACAGUAGUGUGUUGAAUGUAAUGGGCCUUCUUCUCCAGAGACUAGGAGGGGAGGGGAGGAAAACAAAGAUGUCUGACAGUAUCAAAGCUGGAACAAGACUCAGGGUGGCAUAUCCCCAUCAGUCCUGAGAGCUUGCUGUGGGGCAAGAAGGUAUUGACUUCUGUGGGUUGAAAGCAAAGCUGGAUCUUGGAGUCCCAAGGAUUGAGCCCAAAGGUGUGGGAAGUGAAAAAUUCAUAGAAAACUUUGCUCUUAUAGCCAACCUGGAGUCGGUUAGGUCACAUUUGAAAAUGCCUGAGAUUGUUUGCAAUUUUCUGAAUCCUCCACUUAUAAAUGAGUGGAUUUGAGGAGCUGGAGUAGAUGACUUUUUAUAUCUCUUCUGGGGUGUUUUCUGUUAUUCAUCGAAAAUUAUUUCAG